UUAUGGCUCAGGAUGAACGCUAGCUACAGGCUUAACACAUGCAAGUCGAGGGGCAGCAUGAACUUAGCUUGCUAAGUUUGAUGGCGACCGGCGCACGGGUGAGUAACGCGUAUCCAACCUACCCCUUAGUAGGGCAUAGCCCGUAGAAAUGCGGAUUAAUACCCUAUGUUUUCCGGAGACGGCAUCAGAACUGGAACAAAGAUUGAUCGCUAAGGGAUGGGGAUGCGUACGAUUAGGUUGUUGGCGGGUAACGGCCACCAAGCCUGCGAUCGUUAGGGUUCUGAGAGGAAGGUCCCCCACACUGGUACUGAGACACGGACCAGACUCCUACGGGAGGCAGCAGUGAGGAAUAUUGGUCAAUGGGCGUGAGCCUGAACCAGCCAAGUAGCGUGCAGGACGACGGCCCUACGGGUUGUAAACUGCUUUUAUCAGGGGAUAAAGUGCGGGACGUGUCCCUCAUUGCAGGUACCUGAUGAAUAAGGACCGGCUAAUUCCGUGCCAGCCGCCGC
RNAcentral lists this ribosomal RNA (509 nucleotides) under uncultured bacterium. Its description in RNAcentral is "bacterial SSU rRNA". It matches the Rfam family "Bacterial small subunit ribosomal RNA", at positions 17 to 518 of the family's 1533-position model. The record is from RNAcentral.